AGGAACCCUAAGCCCCAAUCCCAUGAGGGAUUAGAAGCAGAGGCUCUGCAUCCAUUCCAAACCCAAUCCUUGUCUCUGUUGUGCCCACUAAGGAGCACACAGUCACGCGUUGCGUUGAGGGACUGAAUCUGCGACCAUAAUGGCGGUGCCCAAUUGGAACUGAGCAGGAUGUGGUUCUGCAACCUGAAUGGCGACGACCGAGGCCUAGUGCUCCUCUUUUAGAACCUUCCAAUCGUGUCACCAAAGAGGAGUUGUUAUUCCAACCGGAAUGGAGACGCUUAAAGCCAAGUGCGACUGCAAUUGCGAAUGCCAAUGCGAGUGUUUGGGAACCUGAAUGGAGGCGAUCGAGACCAAUGGCAACGACGUUUCCGUGGAACCAGAAUUACAACGUUCGAAAAGGUAUGGCGUCGAGUUCCGACGACGGCGACGGUGGGGUUGAAAGACGCGAAGACCCUAACGACCUUUGGCGGUGACGUGCUCCUCCGACUACGGGUAUAUACAUUCAUUGUUCAAAGAAAUGUUCCCUUCUACUUGUUGCAACACCAAUUGCAGCUAUCUCCAAAAUGCAUUCAUCCGUUCCAUCACAGACAUGCUCAAUUUCUACAGAACUUAUUUGCAUAUCAGAAACAGAAAUUUCAAAGUUAAAAGAACAACGAGUCCAACGAUGGCAAAGUAAGAGCAAGAAUCAUUUGCAGCAUGACUAUAUUUUGGGUAAUUACCCUAUUGGAAGGAAUGAUGCUGCCCAGCUUUCUGCAUUGCAAAUCUUGGCUGAGAUUGGAUUUGUUAGAAGACCUGAAUCAUGCGCCCUCAAUGGAUGGCCCCUGAAGUCCUUAGAAAUGAACCUUCAAAUUAAAAGUCUGAAGUAAGGAUUUGGUGAGCACCAUACGUCCCGUCCCACCCUUCAACCUUUAAAUGCACAUAUUAUGAAGGUAUCUGCUGUUUAUUUUUAUUAAUUUUUAUUUCAGAAAUCAGUAUCAUUUACUUUUCAUUGAGGGCACAAUCUUAUUUUCCAACAUAGAUAAUACUCAGCCUCAAGCUCGACAUAUACCCUGAAUGAUUUAUUCUUCUAAAGUUGUUCAGUUCUUAGUAAAUUUGGCCAGAGUAAAUAGUAUGUUGGAAAGUUUUAAGGCUGGCAUGAGUGAGGGAAUUCUUAUUCUUUUUUUAGUUUUUGCAUAUUCUCUUUUAUCCAGAAUGCUAGAAAAAGGUAUUUAAGUAGGAGAGGUGUGAGAUUGCAUAAUUUAGUAAAGUGAUUGCGGCAGUCAAACCUCUGUUUAUGUUGUCAUUUCCAUGGAACAAUUGCAUUGGAUUUUGCUUUUUCCUCUACACUCAGUGAUGUGGAGAAUAUUAACUUUAGGGAUUGUUGUUCA
This is a long non-coding RNA of Glycine soja, 1367 nucleotides long. RefSeq lists it as uncharacterized. NCBI's taxonomy places the organism in Eukaryota, Viridiplantae, Streptophyta, Magnoliopsida, Fabales, Fabaceae. The record is from RefSeq and is a predicted model, not a curated record. The transcript is spliced from 6 exons.